AUGACAUGUUGUGUGAUUCUUCAUAAUAUGAUUCUCAAAGAUGAGAGAGGCAUGAACUUGGAGUUCUUCUACAACAAUGUGGGUAGCCGUGUCAAACCAGCUAGAGAACCUAACCGCGUUAGAGCAUUUCUGCAGACCUACCGGGAGAUUGAAGAUGCAAACACCCACUUUUAGCUUCAGGAGGAUCUCACUGAAAACCAUUGGGAAGGGCUGGGCGGUAACACAUUCCAUUUUUGCAUUCAUUUCAUUUAA
Molecule: ribosomal RNA, 252 nt
Filed under: Triticum aestivum (bread wheat)
Lineage: Eukaryota; Viridiplantae; Streptophyta; Magnoliopsida; Poales; Poaceae
Description: partial small subunit ribosomal RNA
Source: RNAcentral